Molecule: small RNA, 229 nt
Filed under: Arabidopsis thaliana (thale cress)
Lineage: Eukaryota; Viridiplantae; Streptophyta; Magnoliopsida; Brassicales; Brassicaceae
Description: ATSL065420
Source: RNAcentral
UGACAUGGUUAUAGCUUGGUUUCUACGUUCAACAAAACUCGGGCUACUUGUUGUAUACCUUGACAAGAUUCUACUAAAUCUUUUUUCAGACUUCCAGUCAAGUCUUCUAGGGUUCUUAAGUCGGGUUUUUAUUUCGGGUUCUGAUUGUCUGAUUCUAAAGUCUCUUUAGAGUUUGUCAUUUGUUUUUGUUGGUGUGAUUGACGUCCUCAUUCCUAAGUCCGAACACUAU